AGAGUUUGAUCCAUGGCUCAGGAUGAACGCUGGCGGCGUGCUUAACACAUGCAAGUCGAACGAACCUUCGGGUUAGUGGCGGACGGGUGAGUAACGCGUAAGAAUCUGCCCUCAGGAGGGGGAUAACAGCUGGAAACGGCUGCUAAUACCCCAUAUGCCGCGAGGUGAAAUGAAUUUCGCCUGAGGAUGAGCUCGCGUCUGAUUAGCUAGUUGGUGUAGGUAAUGGCUCACCAAGGCAUCGAUCAGUAGCUGGUCUGAGAGGAUGAUCAGCCACACUGGGACUGAGACACGGCCCAGACUCCUACGGGAGGCAGCAGUGGGGAAUUUUCCGCAAUGGGCGAAAGCCUGACGGAGCAACGCCGCGUGAGGGAUGAAGGCCUCUGGGCUGUAAACCUCUUUUAUCAAGGAAGAAGAUCUGACGGUACUUGAUGAAUAAGCCACGGCUAAUUCCGCGCCAGCAGCCGCGGUAAUACGGGAGUGGCAAGCGUUAUCCGGAAUUAUUGGGCGUAAAGCGUCCGCAGGCGGCCCUUCAAGUCUGCUGUUAAAAAGUGGAGCUUAACUCCAUCAUGGCAGUGGAAACUGAGGGGCUUGAGUGUGGUAGGGGCAGAGGGAAUUCCCGGUGUAGCGGUGAAAUGCGUAGAUAUCGGGAAGAACACCAGUGGCGAACGCGCUCUGCUGGGCCAUCACUGACGCUCAUGGACGAAAGCCAGGGGAGCGAAAGGGAUUAGAUACCCCUGUAGUCCUGGCCGUAAACGAUGAACACUAGGUGUCGGGGGAAUCGACCCCCUCGGUGUCGUAGCCAACGCGUUAAGUGUUCCGCCUGGGGAGUACGCACGCAAGUGUGAAACUCAAAGGAAUUGACGGGGGCCCGCACAAGCGGUGGAGUAUGUGGUUUAAUUCGAUGCAACGCGAAGAACCUUACCAGGGUUUGACAUCCUGCGAAUCUCUUGGAAACGAGAGAGUGCCUUCGGGAACGCAGUGACAGGUGGUGCAUGGCUGUCAUCAGCUCGUGUCGUGAGAUGUUGGGUUAAGUCCCGCAACGAGCGCAACCCACGUCUUUAGUUGCCAGCAUUUAGUUGGGCACUCUAGAGAGACCGCCGGUGAUAAACCGGAGGAAGGUGUGGAUGACGUCAAGUCAUCAUGCCCCUUACAUCCUGGGCUACACACGUACUACAAUGCUACGGACAAAGGGCAGCAAGUUCGCGAGGACAAGCAAAUCCCAUAAACCGUGGCUCAGUUCAGAUCGUAGGCUGCAACUCGCCUACGUGAAGGAGGAAUCGCUAGUAAUCGCAGGUCAGCAUACUGCGGUGAAUACGUUCCCGGGCCUUGUACACACCGCCCGUCACACCAUGGAAGUUGGCCACGCCCGAAGCCGUUACUCCAACCCUUGUGGAGGAGGACGUCGAAGGUGGGGCUGAUGACUGGGGUGAAGUCGUAACAAGGUAACCGUA
Molecule: ribosomal RNA, 1451 nt
Filed under: uncultured bacterium
Lineage: Bacteria
Description: bacterial SSU rRNA
Rfam family: Bacterial small subunit ribosomal RNA
Source: RNAcentral